RNAcentral lists this transfer RNA (79 nucleotides) under Podospora anserina S mat+. RNAcentral's name for it is "tRNA-Leu (TAG) (tRNA-Leu-TAG-1-1)". It matches the Rfam family "tRNA". From Rfam's summary of the family: Transfer RNA (tRNA) molecules are approximately 80 nucleotides in length. The record is from RNAcentral. Lineage: Eukaryota; Fungi; Ascomycota; Sordariomycetes; Sordariales; Podosporaceae.
GGCGAAGUGGCCGAGUGGUUAAGGCGCUGUGUUUAGGCCGCAGUGGGAAACCUCGCGAGUUCGAAUCUCGUCUUCGUCA